AGUCACUGACAUUAGAUACCCGUGUAGUCCAGGGUGUAAACGCUGCAGACUUGGUGUUGGAGGCCCUUUGGGGGCAUUCAGUGCCGGAGAGAAGUUGUUAAGUCUGCUACUUGGGAGUACGUCCGCAAGGAUGAAACUUAAAGGAAUUGGCGGGGGAGCACCGCAACGGGAGGAGCGUGCGGUUUAAUUGGAUUCAACACCGUAAAACUCACCAGGGAAGACUGUUACAUGAAGGCCGUGAUGAAGACUCUGCUAGAUUUUCAG
RNAcentral lists this ribosomal RNA (264 nucleotides) under uncultured archaeon. RNAcentral describes it as "partial 16S ribosomal RNA". It matches the Rfam family "Archaeal small subunit ribosomal RNA", at positions 717 to 982 of the family's 1478-position model. The record is from RNAcentral.